AGAAGAUUGCAAAAAGAUUGAACAGUACAUGACUGCUUCUUUUUUGACAAGGACAUGCCUCUCGUCUCUUGCAUUUUUAAUUACAAGCAGUUUCUUGGGUAUAUCUUUUGAUUUAUUAGCUCCAAUUCCUUGGAUUAAGAAGCAGCUUCAAAAGUUUCGAAAAAAUGAUAUGCUUCAGCUGGUACCAGAAAGGAGCGAGGACUAUCCUUUGGAAAAUCAUGACAUAAAGCAGCUUCAAAAAUUUCGAAAAAAUGAUAUGCUUCAGCUGGUACCAGAAAGGAGCGAGGACUAUCCUUUGGAAAAUCAAGACAUUGAUAGCUUGGAGAGGCCUCUAAUUCAUGAAAGGAGUUCAACUGUGGUUGACA
RNAcentral lists this long non-coding RNA (365 nucleotides) under Nicotiana benthamiana. Its description in RNAcentral is "long non-coding RNA (NBEN_LNC040401)". Lineage: Eukaryota; Viridiplantae; Streptophyta; Magnoliopsida; Solanales; Solanaceae. The record is from RNAcentral.